This 397-nucleotide ribosomal RNA is filed under the name uncultured bacterium. RNAcentral describes it as "partial 16S ribosomal RNA". It matches the Rfam family "Bacterial small subunit ribosomal RNA", at positions 359 to 774 of the family's 1533-position model. The record is from RNAcentral.
GAUAUUGGACAAUGGAGGGAACGCUGAUGCAGCGACGCCGCGUGAAGGAAGAAGGUCUNAGGAACNUNAACUACUAUCAGCAGAGNAGAAAAUGACGAUGCCUGACUAAGAAGCCCCUGCUAACUACGUGCCAGCAGCCGCGGUAAUACGUAGGGGGCAAGCGUUAUCCGGAAUUCCUGGGUGUAAAGGGUGCGUAGGCGGUAAUGAAAGUCAGGUGUGAAAGCCCGAAGCUCAACUUCGGGAUUGCACUUGAAACUUCAUAACUAGGGUACAGGAGAGGUGAGGGGAAUGCCUAGUGUAGCGGUGAAAUGCGUAGAUAUGAGGCAGAACACCAGUGGCGAAGGCGACUCGCUGGACUGUCACUGACGCUGAGGCACGAAAGCGUGGGUAGCGAACA